Molecule: ribosomal RNA, 427 nt
Filed under: uncultured bacterium
Lineage: Bacteria
Description: partial 16S ribosomal RNA
Rfam family: Bacterial small subunit ribosomal RNA
Source: RNAcentral
UGGGGAAUAUUGGACAAUGGGCGAAAGCCUGAUCCAGCCAUGCCGCGUGUGUGAAGAAGGUCUUCGGAUUGUAAAGCACUUUAAGUUGGGAGGAAGGGCAUUAACCUAAUACGUUAGUGUUUUGACGUUACCGACAGAAUAAGCACCGGCUAACUCUGUGCCAGCAGCCGCGGGAAUACAGAGGGUGCAAUCGUUAAUCGGAAUUACUGGGCGUAAAGCGCGCGUAGGUGGUUUGUUAAGUUGGAUGUGAAAUCCCCGGGCUCAACCUGGGAACUGCAUUCAAAACUGACUGACUAGAGUAUGGUAGAGGGUGGUGGAAUUUCCUGUGUAGCGGUGAAAUGCGUAGAUAUAGGAAGGAACACCAGUGGCGAAGGCGACCACCUGGACUAAUACUGACACUGAGGUGCGAAAGCGUGGGGAGCAAACA